GACGAACGCUGGCGGCGUGCUUAACACAUGCAAGUCGAACGGAAAGGCCCUGCUUUUGUGGGGUGCUCGAGUGGCGAACGGGUGAGUAACACGUGAGUAACCUGCCCUUGACUUUGGGAUAACUUCAGGAAACUGGGGCUAAUACCGGAUAGGAGCUCCGGCUGCAUGGUGGGGGUGGGAAAGUUUCGGCGGGGGGGGAUGGACUCGCGGCUUAUCAGCUUGUUGGUGGGGUAGUGGCUUACCAAGGCUUUGACGGGUAGCCGGCCUGAGAGGGUGACCGGCCACAUUGGGACUGAGAUACGGCCCAGACUCCUACGGGAGGCAGCAGUGGGGAAUAUUGCACAAUGGGCGGAAGCCUGAUGCAGCAACGCCGCGUGCGGGAUGACGGCCUUCGGGUUGUAAACCGCUUUCGCCUGUGACGAAGCGUGAGUGACGGUAAUGGGUAAAGAAGCACCGGCUAACUACGUG
Molecule: ribosomal RNA, 468 nt
Filed under: uncultured bacterium
Lineage: Bacteria
Description: partial 16S ribosomal RNA
Rfam family: Bacterial small subunit ribosomal RNA
Source: RNAcentral